CCCAACUCACGCCCUGACCCAACUAAAACAAAGACAUAACAAAGGAACUAAGGUCAGAACGUGACAGUCAUUGUCUAUUUUUAGAGAAAACUGAUGUGGAAAACUCAGCCAGAAGCUAGCAAGUGUCAAGUGAAUCGACAACAUCACCACAAACGUCUUUUCAAGCCAGAGAGUGGAGAGGAAGGAGAGGACAAAGACUGGAUAGGAAGAAGAGUGAAAGAGAAAGAGGAGGAAAGAUUGGAGAAGGAAAGAUUAAGGGAGUAAAAAGAGUGACGCGAGGAGAGUGUGGAAGAGUGAGGUGGAAAGGUAAAGAGAAGGAAAGGAAAAAAGAGCAGGAAGAGGAGUGAAGAAAAGAGGAGGAGAAAGAUUGGAGGAGAAGAAAAAGUUAAGAGAGUAAGAAGAGUGACACAAGGAGAGUGAAGAAGAGCAGACAGAGGAGGUACAAUGGCUCAUUCCAAGAAACUGAAAUGCCAUUUUAAUGACAACAUGAGAUGUAUGCACACAUGACUGUAAGUCGCUUUGGAUAAAAGCGUCUGCUAAAUGGCAUAUAUUAUUUAUUAUUAUUAUUAGAAAAUGUCCAUUUAAACGCUCAGGUCAAGACGAUAGAAUGGUUAACUGCACCCUUUUUAAUUCCUCUUUUUCAAUUGGCAGUGGGGGAAGAACGGCAGUGGUAGAACAUCAACAGACAAAAAAAGCAUAAAGCCUCUCUGAUUGCCCGUGUUGGUUUGCCCUCUGUCACCACAUUCUUCAAGAAGGUAGAGCCUUCCCAAGAAGAAUAUGAUUUAGCUGUGCAGGUGGGUGUCUUUGCAUACCACACUAUGCAACACAAUCAUAGUUACAGAUCUCUGGGCUGCACAGCACAACUGACACGGAAGCUUUAUGAGCUGAAGUUUACAUGUGCUAGGACAAAAUGUGAAGCCAUACGUGUUUACACCAUGGCUAACUACUUUGGUAACACAGGACCUAGACCAGGUUGAAUUUGUGUCCCUGUCCAUUGAUGCGUCCAAUCAUGGACAUGUAAAGCUGCUGCCAAUACUAGUCAGAUAUUGUAAGAUAUAUGAUGGCAACACAUUUUGUUGAAUUGAAAGGAGAAAUAGCAGAGGAAAUUGCUGCUGAGGUCCUGGUGUUCAUCCAAAAAUGUAACCUGGAAAACAAAGUCGUGGCAUUCUCUGCCGACAACACAAAUACCAACUUUGGAGGACUGAAUAGGCUGGGGAGGGUCAAUGUCCAUACCAAAGUUAAAAAUGCUCUGAAGUGGGAUGUGAUUAGAUUAGGUUGUCCUGCCCGCAUCAUUCAUAACACGCCCAGAACAGCUUUGGAUAUGAUUGCCCUUGAUGAUGAGUACCUGCUCAAAAAGAUAUUUGGAUAUUUUCACCGUUGUAGAAAGACUGAAGAGCUUUUUUUAGGACACAGAAAUGUUCGCUGGCUGUCCAUGUUCCCGGCUCUAGAAAGAGUGCUGAAAAUGUAUGUGCCAUUGAAAUCCUUUUUUCUUUCUGAAGAUAAAUGCCCUGUUGUCCUGCGAACAAUGUUCGAAGAUCCACCGACUGAAUUUUGGCCUUUGUCCAUGGAAACCUGACCGUAUUCAGUGACACAAUCAAGAUGCUUGAAGGCCAGGACCGCUGGGCUGUGGAGUCAGAUGCAAUUCUGAGAAACAUUAAGGCAAAAUUGACUGCAAGACGUGAUGACAACUUCAUUCCAGUUUUGGUCAGAUGACUUCUGAGAGAGCUAGAGGAAACUGGAGCAAUGUCUAAAGAGAGCUUUCUCAAAACAUCCCAAUCAUUCUUCACUACGGCUGUGAACUACUUGCAAGCAUGGGAAAAGCACACAGAUAAUCUAAAAGAUUGACAUUGUCUCCUUUUAAAAAGGCAACCUCUGCGAGAAGAGAUCCAGAAGGCAGCAGGCACACUGCAGGAAAAAUGCCCCAAUGUGACCAUCAAUGAGGAUGCAUUGUUUGACGAGGUUACUGGCCAGCAAAAGUUCCUAAAGGGAGGAUUGCUUGAAGAAUGGAAAACAUCUGAGACAUAGCUUAGUCAGAGAUGGAGCACAGUGGUUACCCACUUCAAAGCGAACAACAUCCCACACACUAACCUGGCUAGAUUAGCGUCUGUUGUCAUGUGCUUACCUGGAAGUUGUACACCAGUUGAGAGAGUGUUCUCCCAAAUGAAUGAUCUAUGGACAGCAGCAAGAAAUAUGUUCACUGUUCCUACCAUCAAGGCCAUGCUUAUUGUGAAUAUAAACUUCAACCUCCUCUGCCAGGAGUUCAUGGAGAAGCUGGCCAAAGACAUAGCAAUCCUGAAGAAGAUACAUUCUGCUGAGAAAUAUUCAGAUUAGGUUGGUAUAAGUAUAUUAUGUAGUUACCAAUCUCGUUUUAUUUCUUUAUUUUGUUAAGUAUUUCACAUAUACUAUUGUCUGUUUUUUUUCUUCUUCAAUUUUGCUAAUGUUCUCUUCUGUUCUUAUUCUACCCAGACUACCAGGACCACUGAAUGGCUGUUCAGAUUGGACAGUUCUGUCUUGUCUGUAAUGUUUCUGUAAUAAAGUUGUUUUUUUCUA
Molecule: long non-coding RNA, 2550 nt
Organism: Oncorhynchus keta (chum salmon)
Lineage: Eukaryota; Metazoa; Chordata; Actinopteri; Salmoniformes; Salmonidae
Exons: 4
Source: RefSeq, a predicted model, not a curated record